RNAcentral lists this long non-coding RNA (3540 nucleotides) under Nicotiana tabacum (common tobacco). RNAcentral's name for it is "long non-coding RNA (NTAB_LNC000700)". The record is from RNAcentral. Lineage: Eukaryota; Viridiplantae; Streptophyta; Magnoliopsida; Solanales; Solanaceae.
UUCAUUAAGCAGAAGAAAUGUAGUAAAAUAUCUGAAAUGUGAAUCUAAUACAACUGUUUAAGACUUAAUCACCCAGAACUGGUGUCACAGUACCACCGACGAUCUAAGAGUUCUAAAUACAAAGUCUGAAAAUAAAGAUACGCUGUUUCUGAAUCAAAGAAAUGAAAUAGGAAAUCAUGGAUAGAGGAGACUCCAGGGCCUGCGGACACAUGCAGGUCUACCUUGGAUAUCCGCGUGGACUGAUGAUAGACACCCAAAUGCUAUGGUCCGAGAUCUGCUCCAGGAUCUGCACAUAGUGCAGAGUGUAGUAUCAGUAGAACCGACUCCAUGUGCUAGUAAGUGCCUAGACUAACAUCAGCGAAGUAGGACGAGGCUAGGACCAGACUACCAAAUGAACCUGUGCAGUUAUAUAAUAUACAGUGGAAAAUAAAAUAGAAAUAAAUAAGUGAAGAUGGGAUGGGGUACAUGUUGCGGGGGUGUAUCAGUAUCAACAGUAAAUCGAGAGUAACGGCAUAAGAACAACUUAGAAUUCACGGCAAAACAAUAGGAAACUUAUAUCCAAUCUAUAAACACUUUGUAUCAAUAAUUGUUGCGGCGCGCAACCCGAUCCCAAUAUAUUACAACACUGUUGCGGCGUGCAACCCAAUCCCAAUAUAUAACAACACUGUUGCGGCGUGCAACCCGAUCCAUAUCAUUCAUCACUGUUGCGGUGCGCAACCCGACCCACAUAUAUCAUUGUUGCGGCGUGCAACCCGAUCCACAUAUAUCAUUGUUGCGGCGUGCAACCCGACCCACAUAUAUCAUUGUUGCGGCAUGCAACCCGAUCCACAUAUAAUAUUGUUGCAGCGUGCAACCCGAUCCACAUAUAAUAUUUUUGCGGGCUGCAACCCGAUCCACAUAUAUAAGCAACACCAAUUAUAACAAGAGUCCAGGCAAGGGAUCAAUAAAGAACUACACUAUCCCGGCAAGGGAAUUGACAGUAUCAGUAAAUACGUCCCGAUAAGGGAGAAACAACUAUAACCUAACUUGUUCCAACAUCUAACUACCUUAGCUAACACCAAUACUCAAUCAUAAGUAAUUCUACAAGAACAAUCAUAAUCCUUGCUCAAUACAGAGAACCAUCAAUUUAAGCAUCCGUAGUAUUAUUCAAGAACACAAUAAAUCACAAUUUAAGACUCGCGCUCAUGCUCGACACCAACGUAUAGAUACUCGUCACCAUGACUAUACAUCGUAUUCAACAAGAAACAAGUAGCAAAUAGGAAACAACUCCUAAUCCCUCAAGCUAAGGUUAGACCAAACACUUAACUCGAUGCCACAAACACAAUUCACGUCUCAAUUAUCGCUUUACCCCUUGAUUCCACCACCAAUUUGCUCGUAUCUAGCCACACGUUACUUUUUUAGAUCAAUAAAUGCUAAAUGAAUCAAUUCCAAUGCAUGAACACUGUCACACCUCCUUUUUACCUACACCCCGAUAAGGGUGUAAGAGAGUUUUUUCCAAUUAAAGUGACAAUCGAAACGGGAUUUAUUUCAAUUAAAAUUCAGAGUCGCCACUUGGGAUAAUUUUAUGGUGUCCCAAGUUACCGGUUCAAAUACUGAAUCGAGGAAAAGAUUGACUAUGUAUUAUAGUCCGCGAACCAGAAAUUCGGGUAAGGAAUUCUGUUAACUCGGGAGAAGGUGUUAGGCAUUCCCGAGUUCCGUGGUUCUAGCACGGUCACUCAACUGUUAAAAUUGGCUCAAUUAUCUGAUUUUAGAACACUUCUAAACCUAUGUGCAUUUUUAACUUUAAAACCGCUUUAAUUAAUUAUAAGGAAGCUUGCAACGUCAUUUAAAAUACGUCUUGAACCACGUCACAUAAAUGCACCCGCAGUCCGCAACACAUUUUAUCUAACGUUAUUGUGAUUUGGAUUUGAGUCACAUAAAUGCGCACCCGAGUUUAGGAAGGUAAAUUAUUUAAUAGCGCGCCUACAUCAACUAUGCAUUUUCAACUUUGUAAGGGCUAUGGAAAUUCAACUAAAUGGCACGCCUCGAUUUCUAAAUAUUUGAACAUUAAUCGAAUAAGGGCCAUAGGUUCUGGGAUUUUAUUUGGCAUGGCACGCCUCAAUUUAUUUCAAAAGAAUGUAUUCAACUAAAGCAAACCACAUAUGUUUAUAAGUAAUAAGUGACAUGAACUCAUAAAUAAGCAUAUUAGCUACAUGGUACUAAUCUGGAAUGAACUUGCAUUAAUAGCAACAACUGCCCACCACUUUGCAAACUCCAUGGAGUGUGAACUAGCUUAGACCAGACUGUGCAAGCCACUUGAAUAAUAUGAAUGUUUUGGCACUAUAACAUCAUUUAACAUGUAGAAGACCUCACAACUAUGUUUAAGAGAUUAUUUAACCUAUAUUGUGCUUAUAUAAAGUGACAAUGUAAAAGAAAUUUGACUUUAUUAUCGUCUGUAUGCCCAUGUCAAUUGCAAUUUGCCAAGUUAUACCCAAAAAUGGUCACUUGUACAGCUUUGUUCCUUGAUAUACAACAACGCACAUAUUCAAUCAAAUGUUGCUAAUUCAAAUCCUAGUCUCCAGAAUAAAGCACAACAAUCCACUAGAGAACUAAAUUAGUACCUCAGUGCAAAGUAUUGACAGAGAAUCGAUACUUCACUUCACGAAUCAGAACAACAAUGACAACAAAAGUUUCAUUCAAUGCAGAAAUGCAGAUCCAGUUUAUAUCAAAUAUACACGCCUUUUUAUUGCUAUUUCAAUAUGAUAACAAUCUAAUUAGAGGUCUACGGACAUAACGGAAAUAGAUCAACACACAAAAGUGAACUUGAAGAUUCAACAAACAUGAAGAAUUUUAAUUGAAGAUCAAAGGAAUUAAGGUUUUUCACCUGAUGAAGAAGCAUAACAAGUUAUUGACGGAACCUCGAACCGGCAAACUCGACUCAAAUGAAACUCCGUCGGUUGCAAAUUGAAAACUCGCCGAUGACAAAAUCUAGCCGAGUCAACCAAAUGAACGUACGAGCAAGAAAAUCUUAGAGGCAGUCAAAGCUACUGGAUCUCGUCAUUUCCGGCAAUGUAACAGUGAAAAGAGAGAGAGAAAAGAUGAGAAACGAGAAUGGCGUGAUAGCAGUUCGCCGGAUUUAAUGGAGGGUCACCGGAUUUAACCAAACACUCGACCAGAUCUGAAACUCAUCGCACAUGGAGGAGAGGAGAGGACGGAAGCCAUGAAGCUUCGUUGGUCGUCGACAAGUUGACAGCGGCGAUGGUUCCUGGCAGAAGAAGAAGAAGCCUAGCUUUUUCUAGGUUCUUUGGAGGAAGAAGAAGCUUCAGUGGUUUUAUGAGGGUGAAGCUUCAUUUAUGGCUGUUGCGUGGUGAAAGGAGGUCCGGCGAUGAAGUUUUGGUGGUGAGGGUGCGGCUAGUAUGGAGAUGGAGCUAGGUUCUAGGGUUUUCUGGAGUUAAAUCUUCAUGAAGAAGAUGAAGGAGCUCCAUUUUGGCUGAUGAUGUUUCCCAAAAACGGUCCUUCUUUUCUUUGUAAACUUUUUAGCUUUUCUUUUAUUUUCCCAAG